RNAcentral lists this ribosomal RNA (1343 nucleotides) under uncultured bacterium. RNAcentral describes it as "16S ribosomal RNA". It matches the Rfam family "Bacterial small subunit ribosomal RNA", at positions 28 to 1378 of the family's 1533-position model. The record is from RNAcentral.
GACGAACGCUGGCGGCGUGCUUAACACAUGCAAGUCGAACGGAAAGGCCCUGCUUUUGUGGGGUGCUCGAGUGGCGAACGGGUGAGUAACACGUGAGUAACCUGCCCUUGACUUUGGGAUAACUUCAGGAAACUGGGGCUAAUACCGGAUAGGAGCUCCUGCUGCAUGGUGGGGGUUGGAAAGUUUCGGCGGUUGGGGAUGGACUCGCGGCUUAUCAGCUUGUUGGUGGGGUAGUGGCUUACCAAGGCUUUGACGGGUAGCCGGCCUGAGAGGGUGACCGGCCACAUUGGGACUGAGAUACGGCCCAGACUCCUACGGGAGGCAGCAGUGGGGAAUAUUGCACAAUGGGCGGAAGCCUGAUGCAGCAACGCCGCGUGCGGGAUGACGGCCUUCGGGUUGUAAACCGCUUUCGCCUGUGACGAAGCGUGAGUGACGGUAAUGGGUAAAGAAGCACCGGCUAACUACGUGCCAGCAGCCGCGGUGAUACGUAGGGUGCGAGCGUUGUCCGGAUUUAUUGGGCGUAAAGGGCUCGUAGGUGGUUGAUCGCGUCGGAAGUGUAAUCUUGGGGCUUAACCCUGAGCGUGCUUUCGAUACGGGUUGACUUGAGGAAGGUAGGGGAGAAUGGAAUUCCUGGUGGAGCGGUGGAAUGCGCAGAUAUCAGGAGGAACACCAGUGGCGAAGGCGGUUCUCUGGGCCUUUCCUGACGCUGAGGAGCGAAAGCGUGGGGAGCGAACAGGCUUAGAUACCCUGGUAGUCCACGCUGUAAACGGUGGGUACUAGGUGUGGGGUCCAUUCCACGGGUUCCGUGCCGUAGCUAACGCUUUAAGUACCCCGCCUGGGGAGUACGGCCGCAAGGCUAAAACUCAAAGGAAUUGACGGGGCCCCGCACAAGCGGCGGAGCAUGCGGAUUAAUUCGAUGCAACGCGUAGAACCUUACCUGGGUUUGACAUGGAUCGGGAGUGCUCAGAGAUGGGUGUGCCUCUUUUGGGGUCGGUUCACAGGUGGUGCAUGGCUGUCGUCAGUUCGUGUCGUGAGAUGUUGGGUUAAGUCCCGCAACGAGCGCAACCCUUGUUCACUGUUGCCAGCACGUUAUGGUGGGGACUCAGUGGAGACCGCCGGGGUCAACUCGGAGGAAAGUGGGGAUGACGUCAAGUCAUCAUGCCCCUUAUGUCCAGGGCUUCACGCAUGCUACAAUGGCUGGUACAGAGAGUGGCGAGCCUGUGAGGGUGAGCGAAUCUCGGAAAGCCGGUCUCAGUUCGGAUUGGGGUCUGCAACUCGACCUCAUGAAGUCGGAGUCGCUAGUAAUCGCAGAUCAGCAACGCUGCGGUGAAUACGUUCCCGGG